UGCCAAAGGAAAAUUGAAC
RNAcentral lists this microRNA (19 nucleotides) under Corchorus olitorius. RNAcentral's name for it is "cme-miR39". Lineage: Eukaryota; Viridiplantae; Streptophyta; Magnoliopsida; Malvales; Malvaceae. The record is from RNAcentral.